This 19-nucleotide non-coding RNA is filed under the name Arabidopsis thaliana (thale cress). Lineage: Eukaryota; Viridiplantae; Streptophyta; Magnoliopsida; Brassicales; Brassicaceae. RNAcentral also lists the same sequence under 1 other name. The record is from RNAcentral.
AGCGACCCCAGGUCAGGCG